Molecule: transfer RNA, 71 nt
Filed under: Abramites hypselonotus (marbled headstander)
Lineage: Eukaryota; Metazoa; Chordata; Actinopteri; Characiformes; Anostomidae
Description: tRNA-Trp
Rfam family: tRNA
About the family: Transfer RNA (tRNA) molecules are approximately 80 nucleotides in length. Their secondary structure includes four short double-helical elements and three loops (D, anti-codon, and T loops). Further hydrogen bonds mediate the characteristic L-shaped molecular structure. tRNAs have two regions of fundamental functional importance: the anti-codon, which is responsible for specific mRNA codon recognition, and the 3' end, to which the tRNAs corresponding amino acid is attached (by aminoacyl-tRNA synthetases). tRNAs cope with the degeneracy of the genetic code in two manners: having more than one tRNA (with a specific anti-codon) for a particular amino acid; and 'wobble' base-pairing, i.e. permitting non-standard base-pairing at the 3rd anti-codon position.
Source: RNAcentral
AGAGACUUAGGUUAACACCAGACCAAGGGCCUUCAAAGCCUCCAGUAGGAGUGAAAAUCUCCUAGUCUUUG